RNAcentral lists this ribosomal RNA (314 nucleotides) under uncultured fungus. RNAcentral's name for it is "SSU rRNA". It matches the Rfam family "Eukaryotic small subunit ribosomal RNA", at positions 39 to 352 of the family's 1831-position model. Lineage: Eukaryota; Fungi. The record is from RNAcentral.
AAAGAUUAAGCCAUGCAUGUCUAAGUAUAAACAAAUUCGUACCGUGAAACUGCGAAUGGCUCAUUAAAUCAGUUAUAGUUUAUUUGAUGAUACCUUGCUACAUGGAUAACUGUGGUAAUUCUGGAGCUAAUACAUGCAAUCAAGCCCCGACUUCCGGAAGGGGUGUAUUUAUUAGAUAAAAAACCAACGCGGUUCGCCGCUCCCUUGGUGAUUCAUAAUAACUUCUCGAAUCGCAUGGCCUUGCGCCGGCGAUGCUUCAUUCAAAUAUCUGCCCUAUCAACUUUCGAUGGUAGGGUAGUGGCCUACCAUGGUUU